GGGGAAUAUUGCACAAUGGAGGAAACUCUGAUGCAGCGAUGCCGCGUGAGGGAAGAAGGUUUUAGGAUUGUAAACCUCUGUCUUCGGGGACGAAAAAAAGACGGUACCUGAGGAGGAAGCUCCGGCUAACUACGUGCCAGCAGCCGCGGUAAUACGUAGGGAGCGAGCGUUGCCCGGAAUUACUGGGUGUAAAGGGAGCGUAGGCGGGAUCGCAAGUCAGAUGUGAAAACUAUGGGCUUAACCCAUAAACUGCAUUUGAAACUGUGGUUCUUGAGUGAAGUAGAGGUAAGCGGAAUUCCUAGUGUAGCGGUGAAAUGCGUAGAUAUUAGGAGGAACAUCAGUGGCGAAGGCGGCUUACUGGGCUUUAACUGACGCUGAGGCUCGAAAGCGUGGGGAGCAAACAGGAUUAGAUACCCUGGUAGUCCACGCCGUAAACGAUGAUUACUAGGUGUGGGGGGACUGACCCCUUCCGUGCCGCAGCAAACGCAAUAAGUAAUCCACCUGGGGAGUACGACCGCAAGGUUGAAACUCAAAGGAAUUGACGGGGGCCCGCACAAGCAGUGGAGUAUGUGGAUUAAUUCGAAGCAACGCGAAGAACCUUACCAGGUCUUGACAUCGUAUGCAUAGCUCAGAGAUGAGUGAAAUCUCUUCGGAGACAUAUAGACAGGUGGUGCAUGGUUGUCGUCAGCUCGUGUCGUGAGAUGUUGGGUUAAGUCCCGCAACGAGCGCAACCCUUACUGUUAGUUGCUACGCAAGAGCACUCUAGCAGGACUGCCGUUGACAAAACGGAGGAAGGUGGGGAUGACGUCAAAUCAUCAUGCCCCUUAUGACCUGGGCCUCACACGUACUACAAUGGCUGUCAACAGAGGGAUGCAAAGCCGCGAGGUGGAGCGAACCCCUAAAAGCAGUCUUAGUUCGGAUUGUAGGCUGCAACCCGCCUACAUGAAGUCGGAAUUGCUAGUAAUCGCAGAUCAGCAUGCUGCGGUGAAUACGUUCCCG
Molecule: ribosomal RNA, 999 nt
Filed under: uncultured bacterium
Lineage: Bacteria
Description: bacterial SSU rRNA
Rfam family: Bacterial small subunit ribosomal RNA
Source: RNAcentral